Molecule: long non-coding RNA, 324 nt
Organism: Nomascus leucogenys (northern white-cheeked gibbon)
Lineage: Eukaryota; Metazoa; Chordata; Mammalia; Primates; Hylobatidae
Exons: 2
Source: RefSeq, a predicted model, not a curated record
CAGACACGUAUCUCAUUAUCUUCUGCAAAGAUCUAUUUGUUUAGCCAUGUGCAAAUAUUGCCCUAAAAUGUUCACAGGUUCCAGAAUAACCAGAUGACUGAGGAGUGUUGAAGAUUGCCGUGAUGGAAGUGCCUCAGUCAGCCUGGAAGACUGUAUGGAAGGAGUUUGCCUGGCCACACUGUCGUCCCUCUCUCCCUAAAAGAGACACAUUUGCCUUUGUGCAAAGCAAUACAUACAUUUGGUCUAUGUAUACACUUUGGUCUAUGUAUUCUGUUAUUUAACAUUCUAAUAAUGUUGAUGACCUUAAAAUAUGCUUGACAAUGA